UACGGGAGGCAGCAGUGGGGAAUAUUGGGCAAUGGGCGAAAGCCUGACCCAGCAACGCCGCGUGAGGGAAGAAGGUUUUCGGAUUGUAAACCUCUGUCCUAAAGGACGAAGGGAGUGACGGUACUUUAGGAGGAAGCCCCGGCUAACUACGUGCCAGCAGCCGCGGUAAU
This 170-nucleotide ribosomal RNA is filed under the name uncultured rumen bacterium. RNAcentral's name for it is "partial 16S ribosomal RNA". It matches the Rfam family "Bacterial small subunit ribosomal RNA", at positions 340 to 524 of the family's 1533-position model. The record is from RNAcentral.